RNAcentral lists this ribosomal RNA (915 nucleotides) under Clostridioides difficile. Its description in RNAcentral is "bacterial LSU rRNA". It matches the Rfam family "Bacterial large subunit ribosomal RNA", at positions 398 to 1323 of the family's 2925-position model. Lineage: Bacteria; Bacillati; Bacillota; Clostridia; Peptostreptococcales; Peptostreptococcaceae. The record is from RNAcentral.
AGAUAUGAUCCAGAGUACCACGGGACACGUGAAACCCUGUGGGAAGCAGGAGGGACCACCCUCCAAGGCUAAAUACUACCUAGUGACCGAUAGCGUAUAGUACCGUGAGGGAAAGGGGAAAAGAACCCCGGGAGGGGAGUGAAAUAGAACCUGAAACCCUGCACUUACAAGCUGUGGAAGCACAUUUCUUGUGUGACCGCGUACUUUUUGUAGAACGGGCCAACGAGUUACGUUAAGUAGCAAGGUUAAGCACUUAAGGUGUGGAGCCGUAGCGAAAGCGAGUUUUAACUGAGCGUUCAGUUACUUGACGUAGACCCGAAACCGGGCGACCUACCCAUGAGCAGGAUGAAGCGAAAGUAAAAUUUCGUGGAGGUCCGAACCCACGAGCGUUGAAAAGCUCGGGGAUGACUUGUGGGUAGCGGUGAAAUUCCAAUCGAGCCCGGAGAUAGCUGGUUCUCCCCGAAAUAGCUUUAGGGCUAGCCUCAAGGUGAGAGAUACGGAGGUAGAGCACUGAAUGUCCUAGGGGGUAUUGCACCUACCGAAGACUAUCAAACUCCGAAUGCCGUCAUCUUAUACUUGGGAGUCAGACUGUGGGUGAUAAGAUUCAUAGUCGAAAGGGCAACAGCCCAGAUCGUCAGCUAAGGUCCCUAAAUGUAAGUUAAGUGGUAAAGGAUGUGGGAUUGCACAGACAACCAGGAUGUUGGCUUAGAAGCAGCCACUCAUUCAAAGAGUGCGUAAUAGCUCACUGGUCGAGUGAUCCUGCGCCGAAGAUUUCCGGGGCUAAAACUUACUACCGAAGCUACGGCAUCAGUAAUGAUGGGUAGGGGAGCUUCCCAUACGGGUUGAAGCAUGACCGUAAGGACAUGUGGACAGUAUGGGAGUGAGAAUGUUGGCAUGAGUAGCGAGAUGUGGGUG